Molecule: ribosomal RNA, 420 nt
Filed under: uncultured bacterium
Lineage: Bacteria
Description: bacterial SSU rRNA
Rfam family: Bacterial small subunit ribosomal RNA
Source: RNAcentral
GAGGAAUAUUGCGCAAUGGAGGAAACUCUGACGCAGCCAUGCCGCGUGCAGGAAGACGGCCCUACGGGUUGUAAACUGCUUUUAUCCGGGAAGAAACCCCAGGACGUGUCCUGGGUUGACGGUACCGGAGGAAUAAGCUCCGGCUAACUCCGUGCCAGCAGCCGCGGUAAUACGGAGGGUGCAAGCGUUAUCCGGAUUCAUUGGGUUUAAAGGGUGCGUAGGCGGGGUGGUAAGUCAGUGGUGAAAUCCUGCAGCUUAACUGUAGAAUUGCCAUUGAUACUGCCAUUCUUGAGUGCGCUUGAAGUGGGCGGAAUGUGCCGUGUAGCGGUGAAAUGCUUAGAUAUGGCACAGAACACCAAUUGCGAAGGCAGCUCACUAAGGCGAUACUGACGCUGAGGCACGAAAGCGUGGGGAUCGAAC